GAUGAACGCUGGCGGCGUGCCCAAUACAUGCAAGUCGAGCGAAUGGAUUAAGAGCUUGCUCUUAUGAAGUUAGCGGCGGACGGGUGAGUAACACGUGGGUAACCUGCCCAUAAGACUGGGAUAACUCCGGGAAACCGGGGCUAAUACCGGAUAACAUUUUGAACCGCAUGGUUCGAAAUUGAAAGGCGGCUUCGGCUGUCACUUAUGGAUGGACCCGCGUCGCAUUAGCUAGUUGGUGAGGUAACGGCUCACCAAGGCAACGAUGCGUAGCCGACCUGGGAGGGGGGUCGGCCACACUGGGACUGAGACACGGCCCAGACUCCGACGGGAGGCAGCAGUAGGGAAUCUUCCGCAAUGGACGAAAGUCUGACGGAGCAACGCCGCGUGAGUGAUGAAGGCUUUCGGGUCGUAAAACUCUGUUGUUAGGGAAGAACAAGUGCUAGUUGAAUAAGCUGGCACCUUGACGGUACCUAACCAGAAAGCCACGGCUAACUACGUGCCAGCCGCCGCGGUAA
Molecule: ribosomal RNA, 515 nt
Filed under: uncultured bacterium
Lineage: Bacteria
Description: partial 16S ribosomal RNA
Rfam family: Bacterial small subunit ribosomal RNA
Source: RNAcentral